RNAcentral lists this ribosomal RNA (433 nucleotides) under uncultured bacterium. RNAcentral's name for it is "partial 16S ribosomal RNA". It matches the Rfam family "Bacterial small subunit ribosomal RNA", at positions 29 to 507 of the family's 1533-position model. The record is from RNAcentral.
AACGAACGCUGGCGGCAUGCCUAACACAUGCAAGUCGAACGAGACCUUCGGGUCUAGUGGCGCACGGGUGCGUAACGCGUGGGAACCUGCCCUUAGGUUCGGAAUAACUCCCCGAAAGGGGUGCUAAUACCGGAUAAUGUCUUCGGACCAAAGAUUUAUCGCCUUUGGAUGGGCCCGCGUUGGAUUAGCUAGUUGGUAGGGUAAAAGCCUACCAAGGCGACGAUCCAUAGCUGGUCUGUGAGGAUGAUCAGCCACACUGGGACUGAGACACGGCCCAGACUCCUACGGGAGGCAGCAGUGGGGAAUAUUGGACAAUGGGCGAAGGCCUGAUCCAGCAAUGCCGCGUGAGUGAUGAAGGCCUUAGGGUUGUAAAGCUCUUUUACCCGGGAUGAUAAUGACAGUACCGGGAGAAUAAGCUCCGGCUAACUCCGUG